AGUUCUGUGCUUGAAAUGACUUGAGAC
This 27-nucleotide small RNA is filed under the name Arabidopsis thaliana (thale cress). RNAcentral's name for it is "ATSL109000". The record is from RNAcentral. Lineage: Eukaryota; Viridiplantae; Streptophyta; Magnoliopsida; Brassicales; Brassicaceae.